AACGAACGCUGGCGGCAGGCCUAAUACAUGCAAGUCGAACGGAUGUAGCAAUACAUUAGUGGCGCACGGGUGCGGAACACGUGGGAACAUACCCUUUGGUAAGGAAUAAUGUCUGGAAACGGACACUAAUACCUUAUAAUGACUUCGGUCCAAAGAUUUAUCGCCAAAGGAUUGGCCCGCGUCUGAUUAGGUAGUUGGCGGGGUAAUGGCCUACCAAGCCUACGAUCAGUAGCUGGUCUGAGAGGAUGAUCAGCCACACUGGAACUGAGACACGGUCCAGACUCCUACGGGAGGCAGCAGUAAGGAAUAUUGGACAAUGGGCGCAAGCCUGAUCCAGCCAUGCCGCGUGAGUGAAGAAGGCCUUAGGGUUGUAAAGCUCUUUCAAUAGUGAAGAUAAUGACGGUAGCUAUAGAAGAAGCCCCGGCUAAAUUCGUGCCAGCAGCCGCAGUAA
This 451-nucleotide ribosomal RNA is filed under the name uncultured bacterium. Its description in RNAcentral is "partial 16S ribosomal RNA". It matches the Rfam family "Bacterial small subunit ribosomal RNA", at positions 29 to 523 of the family's 1533-position model. The record is from RNAcentral.